RNAcentral lists this ribosomal RNA (492 nucleotides) under uncultured bacterium. RNAcentral's name for it is "partial 16S ribosomal RNA". It matches the Rfam family "Bacterial small subunit ribosomal RNA", at positions 29 to 507 of the family's 1533-position model. The record is from RNAcentral.
AGUGAACGCUGGCGGUAGGCCUAACACAUGCAAGUCGAACGGCAGCACAGUAAGAGCUUGCUCUUACGGGUGGCGAGUGGCGGACGGGUGAGGAAUACAUCGGAAUCUACUCUUUCGUGGGGGAUAACGUAGGGAAACUUACGCUAAUACCGCAUACGACCCACGGGUGAAAGCAGGGGAUCUUCGGACCUUGCGCGAUUGAAUGAGCCGAUGUCGGAUUAGCUAGUUGGCGGGGUAAAGGCCCACCAAGGCGACGAUCCGUAGCUGGUCUGAGAGGAUGAUCAGCCACACUGGAACUGAGACACGGUCCAGACUCCUACAGGAGGCAGCAGUGGGGAAUAUUGGACAAUGGGCGCAAGCCUGAUCCAGCCAUACCGCGUGGGUGAAGAAGGCCUUCGGGUUGUAAAGCCCUUUUGUUGGGAAAGAAAAGCAGCAGGUUAAUACCCCGCUGUUCUGACGGUACCCAAAGAAUAAGCACCGGCUAACUUCGUG